Small nucleolar RNA from Arvicanthis niloticus (Nile rat), 134 nucleotides. RefSeq annotates it as small nucleolar RNA SNORA17. Lineage: Eukaryota; Metazoa; Chordata; Mammalia; Rodentia; Muridae. The record is from RefSeq and is a predicted model, not a curated record.
GUUGCAUCUAGAGGCAUGGUAGAUGAGGCUACUGCAUCACAUGUGUGUCAGUAGGUAGUUGAGAGGGGAGAGGCUACACUUGUAUGCUCAGUGUUCUGACCUAUGAACAUCUGAAUAAUUAGUAGACUAACAUU